This 72-nucleotide non-coding RNA is filed under the name unclassified sequences. The record is from RNAcentral.
AAAGCAUCGAGAAAAAGAUAAACUUCCUAGUGACAAAGUCACGUCGUCAGUUUCCUAUUUUCUACUUGCUUU